This 679-nucleotide ribosomal RNA is filed under the name uncultured bacterium. RNAcentral's name for it is "bacterial SSU rRNA". It matches the Rfam family "Bacterial small subunit ribosomal RNA", at positions 60 to 728 of the family's 1533-position model. The record is from RNAcentral.
AGUCGAACGGUAACAGGAAACAGCUUGCUGUUUCGCUGACGAGUGGCGGACGGGUGAGUAAUGUCUGGGAAACUGCCUGAUGGAGGGGGAUAACUACUGGAAACGGUAGCUAAUACCGCAUAACGUCGCAAGACCAAAGAGGGGGACCUUCGGGCCUCUUGCCAUCGGAUGUGCCCAGAUGGGAUUAGCUUGUUGGUGGGGUAACGGCUCACCAAGGCGACGAUCCCUAGCUGGUCUGAGAGGAUGACCAGCCACACUGGAACUGAGACACGGUCCAGACUCCUACGGGAGGCAGCAGUGGGGAAUAUUGCACAAUGGGCGCAAGCCUGAUGCAGCCAUGCCGCGUGUAUGAAGAAGGCCUUCGGGUUGUAAAGUACUUUCAGCGGGGAGGAAGGGAGUAAAGUUAAUACCUUUGCUCAUUGACGUUACCCGCAGAAGAAGCACCGGCUAACUCCGUGCCAGCAGCCGCGGUAAUACGGAGGGUGCAAGCGUUAAUCGGAAUUACUGGGCGUAAAGCGCACGCAGGCGGUUUGUUAAGUCAGAUGUGAAAUCCCCGGGCUCAACCUGGGAACUGCAUCUGAUACUGGCAAGCUUGAGUCUCGUAGAGGGGGGUAGAAUUCCAGGUGUAGCGGUGAAAUGCGUAGAGAUCUGGAGGAAUACCGGUGGCGAAGGCGGCCCC